RNAcentral lists this ribosomal RNA (478 nucleotides) under uncultured bacterium. RNAcentral describes it as "partial 16S ribosomal RNA". It matches the Rfam family "Bacterial small subunit ribosomal RNA", at positions 28 to 523 of the family's 1533-position model. The record is from RNAcentral.
GACGAACGCUGGCGGCGUGCUUAACACAUGCAAGUCGAACGGUAAGGCCCUUCGGGGUACACGAGUGGCGAACGGGUGAGUAACACGUGGGUGAUCUGCCCUGCACUUCGGGAUAAGCCUGGGAAACUGGGUCUAAUACCGGAUAGGACUCCGGACUGCAUGGUCUGGGGUGGAAAGCUUUUGCGGUGUGGGAUGGGCCCGCGGCCUAUCAGCUGGUUGGUGGGGUGAUGGCCUACCAAGGCGACGACGGGUAGCCGGCCUGAGAGGGUGACAGGCCGCACUGGGACUGGGAGACGGCCCAGAAGCCUACGGGAGGCAACAGUGGGGAAUAUUGCACAAUGGGCGCAAGCCUGAUGCAGCGACGCCGCGUGAGGGAUGACGGCCUUCGGGUUGUAAACCUCUUUCAGCAUCGACGAAGCGAAAGUGACGGUAGGUGCAGAAGAAGGACCGGCCAACUACGUGCCAGCCGCCGCCGUAA